CUACGGGUCGCUGCAGUGGGGAAUAUUGCACAAUGGGCGAAAGCCUGAUGCAGCAACGCCGCGUGAGGGACGACGGCCUUCGGGUUGUAAACCUCUUUUAGCAGGGAAGAAGCGAAAGUGACGGUACCUGCAGAAAAAGCACCGGCUAACUACGGUGCCAGCAGCCGCGGUAAUACGUAGGGUGCAAGCGUUGUCCGGAAUUAUUGGGCGUAAAGAGCUCGUAGGCGGUUUGUCGCGUCUGCUGUGAAAAUCCGAGGCUCAACCUCGGACCUGCAGUGGGUACGGGCAAACUAGAGUGCGGUAGGGGAGAUUGGAAUUCCUGGUGUAGCGGUGGAAUGCGCAGAUAUCAGGAGGAACACCAAUGGCGAAGGCAGAUCUCUGGGCCGUAACUGACGCUGAGGAGCGAAAGCGUGGGGAGCGAACAGGAUUAGAUACCCCUGUAGUC
This 445-nucleotide ribosomal RNA is filed under the name uncultured bacterium. Its description in RNAcentral is "partial 16S ribosomal RNA". It matches the Rfam family "Bacterial small subunit ribosomal RNA", at positions 339 to 795 of the family's 1533-position model. The record is from RNAcentral.